This 253-nucleotide unclassified non-coding RNA is filed under the name uncultured Pirellulaceae bacterium. Its description in RNAcentral is "contains 16S-23S intergenic spacer region". It matches the Rfam family "Bacterial small subunit ribosomal RNA", at positions 524 to 776 of the family's 1533-position model. The record is from RNAcentral. Lineage: Bacteria; Pseudomonadati; Planctomycetota; Planctomycetia; Pirellulales; Pirellulaceae.
GACGAACCGGACAAACGUUAUUCGGAAUUAUUGGGUUUAAAGGGUGCGUAGGCGGCGCGAUAAGUUGGGUGUGAAAUCCCUUGGCUCAACCAAGGAACUGCGCCCAAUACUGUCGUGCUUGAGGGAGACAGAGGCGAGCGGAACUGAUGGUGGAGCGGUGAAAUGCGUUGAUAUCAUCAGGAACACCAGUGGCGAAAGCGGCUCGCUGGGUCUCUUCUGACGCUGAGGCACGAAAGCUAGGGUAGCGAACAGG